This 81-nucleotide small nucleolar RNA is filed under the name Myripristis murdjan (pinecone soldierfish). Its description in RNAcentral is "Small nucleolar RNA SNORD72 (ENSMMDG00005001176.1)". It matches the Rfam family "Small nucleolar RNA SNORD72". Rfam says of the family: snoRNA HBII-240 belongs to the CD family of snoRNAs. It is the human orthologue of the mouse MBII-240 and is predicted to guide 2'O-ribose methylation of the large 28S rRNA at residue U4590. Lineage: Eukaryota; Metazoa; Chordata; Actinopteri; Holocentriformes; Holocentridae. The record is from Rfam by way of RNAcentral.
GUCUUGUCAGUGAUGUUUUUAAAACACAAAUGUCUGAACAAAUGACUUCUCUGUGAUUCGUACCUUUCACUGAGACAAGAC